RNAcentral lists this non-coding RNA (111 nucleotides) under Clostridium pasteurianum. RNAcentral describes it as "SAM-I sequence". It matches the Rfam family "SAM riboswitch aptamer (S box leader)". From Rfam's summary of the family: The SAM riboswitch is found upstream of a number of genes which code for proteins involved in methionine or cysteine biosynthesis in Gram-positive bacteria. RNAcentral also lists the same sequence under 1 other name. The record is from RNAcentral. Lineage: Bacteria; Bacillati; Bacillota; Clostridia; Eubacteriales; Clostridiaceae.
AUCUCAUCAAGAGAAGCAGAGGGACUGGCCUGAUGAAGCUUCGGCAACCUUCAUACGUGUAAUUAGAAAGGUGCCAAAUCCUGCAGUUGAAUGUUUAACGGUAGAUGAGAG